UACGUAGGGUGCAAGCGUUAAUCGGAAUUACUGGGCGUAAAGCGUGCGCAGGCGGUGAUGUAAGACAGUUGUGAAAUCCCCGGGCUCAACCUGGGAACUGCAUCUGUGACUGCAUCGCUGGAGUACGGUAGAGGGGGAUGGAAUUCCGCGUGUAGCAGUGAAAUGCGUAGAGAUCGGAAAGAACACCAACGGCGAAAGCACUCUGCUGGGCCGACACUGACACUGAGAGACGAAAGCUAGGGGAGCGAAUGGG
Molecule: ribosomal RNA, 253 nt
Filed under: uncultured bacterium
Lineage: Bacteria
Description: partial 16S ribosomal RNA
Rfam family: Bacterial small subunit ribosomal RNA
Source: RNAcentral